UCGAAUGUUUUAAAUACUGUUUUCUCAAAACAGAACAUUUCGUGCUUUGAGAUAAGACGGCCAAGACCAAUUUGAUCAGUUAAUGUGUUUUUUAUGCAUAGUGCUUCAGCAGUUGACAUAUAUAGAGCUCAGAGGAAACAUAUAAAUUAUAGCAUCUGACCAAUGAGAAUUUCGCGUCACGAUUUGAGACGCAGAUAUUCAAAUUCAUUAGUCAUCGAUGCAGGCUCCCAAUUCAGCUUGAGAGCCUGUUCGCAGGCUAGUUAGAUGCUGGU
Paramuricea clavata is the source of this 272-nucleotide non-coding RNA. Lineage: Eukaryota; Metazoa; Cnidaria; Anthozoa; Malacalcyonacea; Plexauridae. The record is from the annotation of a GenBank genome assembly.